CCAUAUCCACAUGCCUAGAGUAGGCUCCCUCCAUACCUCACACCCAAAGGUGUUGGGCUGAUUCCUUGUUCGCUUGAAAGAGUUCAUGUAUUGUCCCACCAAAGGAAGGAGAAAAGCUGCAUCAAAGGUUAAUCCGUCAGCCACCUCGGAGAUCAGAUCAUCACUGAUCAAGAGCUCCAAUCCACCUUAGAGUAGGUGGAUUAGAUCUGGAUAAAGCAUCCUAGACGAAGGUCUGAGUGGAUACCUAUAGAGACCAGAUACUUGUAUGGCUCAACAAUGGACCUCAACCAUACGACAAUCAUCGGACCACGGAGAUCGUCUUCACACACAAGGUGAUGAGUAUUAUUUUAAUUAUUUUAAUAGAUGCUGAAUUUGGACUAACAAUCUGUCUUUUGAUCCAUAUUUCAGAUGUCGGAUCGAAAAAAUUUUUGAAUUCUGCUGUGCCAAGUUUGAUCGAUCUAAAGAGCGAUUCACAACCUUCACGACUGACAUGGCCGACUGCCACAAUCGACUGAUAUGGCUGAUUGUCAUGACCGACUGACA
This 543-nucleotide long non-coding RNA is filed under the name Elaeis guineensis (African oil palm). Its description in RNAcentral is "long non-coding RNA (EGUI_LNC013837)". Lineage: Eukaryota; Viridiplantae; Streptophyta; Magnoliopsida; Arecales; Arecaceae. The record is from RNAcentral.